UCACCAGCGUUGGGAAACUCGCCAUUGAACUCCCCUGAAACUGACCCUCAGCUAAAAUAUGGGAAAUGUCAGUCCCAUCGCUUCUGCCGUCCUAAUAUUGAAUUGGAUGGCAUUUCAAUACUGGAUAGGCAGUCCGCUAAUUUAGCCACAGUGGAAGAGGCGAUGGUGGAGUGAAGUUGGGCAUUUGUAAGCGUACAUGUGAAAAGUAAUGCUGUGCUUUCCGACUUAUAAAGAGACAUAUUAAUGAAAGACCUUCCCUCACAACGACUCGUGAAUUGAGAGAGGGGAAAAUUCACCUCAGGUGAUAGCCAGCUUGGGAUCACAACACUUUGAAAAAGUAUCUCCAUUGUGGCAGCAGUGAGAGGCUAAAGUUCAAGGCACGUUGUCAAACCCGGACACAGUAGAGAAAAAGUCAUAUCAAAUCGGGUACCAUACAAAAACUUCACAAUGCAGAAGAAAAAUCAACAGCUGGUUUCAGAAAAGCGAGAUUAAAGAGAAGAAAGGAAGUCAUUAAAAAAUGUGAAAUAUCUCUCAGGUGGCAGUAAAGGAACUGAUCACCGAAUUCAUACGCCAAAUCCACUCGAACUCAGGGAGGAGUUCCGUGGAAGACCAGUCCCCAUCUGUGCACAAUUUAAUGUGAAGUGGAUAAGGCCCAUUUGGAAUUGGUGAAGGCCCGAUGUGGAUCAAAGCAUUCCUGCAGCUUGAAUAAUAUCCAAGGUUACAUUGGAAAGUGCCAAAUUCGAAUUUACUGGAAUAAUUGUUGCACCUAACUGGCAUCAAUACUAUUCAUGAGGGACAUCAAGAAACAAUAAAGAUCAAACAAAGUA
This is a long non-coding RNA of Rhincodon typus (whale shark), 827 nucleotides long. RefSeq lists it as uncharacterized. The record is from RefSeq and is a predicted model, not a curated record. Lineage: Eukaryota; Metazoa; Chordata; Chondrichthyes; Orectolobiformes; Rhincodontidae. The transcript has 4 exons.